GCUGAUCUGCUAUGUUAUGUUCUGUAGUGUGUGGAAGCCAUGAUAUGCUCUUCUUUUCUAUGUUUUACUGAAAUCUGUUCUGCCUAAAAGCUCAAAAAAUUCAAGCCUAAGUUGUAAGUACUACAACUCUUUUUUUUUCUCUUUUUUUUAUUUGAGGGGAAAAGUAUUACAACUCUACGAGUAAUAAAAUUCCUCAAAGUAUUUUACUUUAAAAAAAGAAAAAAAAAAACUCUACAAGUGACAAAAUAAAAACUUGUUUAAAAAAAAACAAAAUAAAAACUUUACAGGUUUAUAUUGCUCGAUUCUUUCUCCCACUUAGAAAUGAUGAACCCUAACAUACCUCCAAUUGAUUGAUCGAAACUCCCAAAUUGAUUGCUCGAAUCUCCCAAAUUGAUUGCUCGAAUAUUUUAUUACUCGAUUACUCAUUUCUGCUUGAUUCCCUUUCGCCUGAAGUGCUUCCAAUUGAUACGAUAGAAUUGCUGGAUACAAUUCUCUCUGCUGCUCAAUUUUCGUUUGAGUAAUCGCCCAAAUCGAAAGUUUCAGGAAUCAAGAUCUAGAUGGACAUUAUGAGAAAGCUAGACAAGCUAAGCAAGGAUAGAACAAAAUAGAAUCAGAAUGAGGGAUUUGGGGGUUACAUUAAUGUUUUAUACACUGAAACAGUCGAUGAAGGGAUCAAAAUAAACAAAAAAAAAGUAAAAAGGCGACUAAAGAUUCCUACUGAAACAGUGGAUGAAGGGAUCGAAACAAACAAAAAAAUAAGUAAGAAGGUGACUAAAGAUACUGACGAGUAUACACCCGAUGAAAAGGGAGAAUUGAACCACUCAAGUGAAGAGGAUUAAAAUCAGAUAAGGAAAAACAGUGUAAACUUGAGGUCUCGUUAAAAAAAGCUGCUACUGUUGUUUUUUGUUGUUGCUUCUGCUACUUUUUGGUGCUACUCCUGUUUUUUUGCUGCUACUGCUGUUUUUUUGCUGCUACUGCUCUUUGUUGCUGACUCUUGCUGGUGCUGUUUGCUGCCACUGCUUCCUGCCACUUUUAUUUGCUGCUACAUGAUGUCUGCUAGAAGCUCUGUUGCUGCUGAUGUUGCAAUUAUUCUAGCAUUUGUUUCUUUAAUUUUUUUUUCACUUUUUUUAGAUAGAGAUCGAAGUUAAUUUUCUUUUUGUUUUGGUUAUCAUCUUGUUUGGCCAAACAUUAAAAUUGGUGUGUAUGGAUUUUUUUUUUGAAAGAAUUAUGAAAUUAUUUCAAUUCAAAUAUUAUCUAUCAUAUUUGUUAGUU
Chenopodium quinoa (quinoa) is the source of this 1272-nucleotide long non-coding RNA. RefSeq lists it as uncharacterized. The transcript is spliced from 3 exons. NCBI's taxonomy places the organism in Eukaryota, Viridiplantae, Streptophyta, Magnoliopsida, Caryophyllales, Amaranthaceae. The record is from RefSeq and is a predicted model, not a curated record.